This 476-nucleotide ribosomal RNA is filed under the name uncultured organism. RNAcentral describes it as "partial 16S ribosomal RNA". It matches the Rfam family "Bacterial small subunit ribosomal RNA", at positions 330 to 797 of the family's 1533-position model. The record is from RNAcentral.
CGUACACUCCUGCGGGAGGCAGCAGUGGGGAAUAUCGCACAAUGGGCGCAAGCCUGAUGCAGCCAUGCCGCGUGUAUGAAGAAGGCCUUCGGGUUGUAAAGUACUUUCAGCGGGGAGGAAGGCGAUAAGGUUAAUAACCUUGUCGAUUGACGUUACCCGCAGAAGAAGCACCGGCUAACUCCGUGCCAGCAGCCGCGGUAAUACGGAGGGUGCAAGCGUUAAUCGGAAUUACUGGGCGUAAAGCGCACGCAGGCGGUCUGUCAAGUCGGAUGUGAAAUCCCCGGGCUCAACCUGGGAACUGCAUUCGAAACUGGCAGGCUAGAGUCUUGUAGAGGGGGGUAGAAUUCCAGGUGUAGCGGUGAAAUGCGUAGAGAUCUGGAGGAAUACCGGUGGCGAAGGCGGCCCCCUGGACAAAGACUGACGCUCAGGUGCGAAAGCGUGGGGAGCAAACAGGAUUAGAAACCCCAGUAGUCCCA